This 575-nucleotide ribosomal RNA is filed under the name uncultured soil bacterium. RNAcentral describes it as "bacterial SSU rRNA". It matches the Rfam family "Bacterial small subunit ribosomal RNA", at positions 28 to 569 of the family's 1533-position model. The record is from RNAcentral.
AACGAACGCUGGCGGCGUGGAUAAGACAUGCAAGUCGAACGGUGACUGGUGAGUAGCAAUAUUUGCCGGUCAUAGUGGCGCAAGGGUGCGUAACACGUGGGCAAUUUGCCGCGAAGACUGGGAUAACCGCGAGAAAUCGUGGCUAAUACCAGAUGUGAUUCCCGGGAGGCAUCUCUCGGAACUCAAAGCUGGGGAGCUGGCGAAAGUCAGUCCUGGCGCUUUGCGAUAAGCCCGCGGCCUAUCAGCUAGUUGGCGGGUAACGGCCCACCAAGGCUAAGACGGGUAGCUGGUCUGAGAGGACGACCAGCCACACUGGAACUGAGACACGGUCCAGACACCUACGGGUGGCAGCAGUCGAGAAUUUUUCACAAUGGGCGAAAGCCUGAUGGAGCGACGCCGCGUGGGGGAUGAAUGGCUUCGGCCCGUAAACCCCUGUCAUUUGCGAACAAAUCUCCGGCAUGAAUAGUGUCGGAGUUGAUGGUAGCAGAAGAGGAAGGGACGGCUAACUCUGUGCCAGCAGCCGCGGUAAUACAGAGGUCCAAAGCGUUGUUCGGAUUCACUGGGCGUAAAAGGGU